AAACAUAAGCCUGUGGGAGACAUUCCUCCUCCAAACCACUAAAGUGUAUGUGAAGGGCUUGAGGUUGAUGUUGGAAUUUUUUUUUCCAUUGCUCUCCAGUUUAUUCCUUUUGAGGCAAUUCCUGUCAGUCAAAGCUAGAGCUCACCAAAAUGGCUAUCCAGCUUCCUCUGGGGAUUUCUUGUUACUACUAUCAGAUAUUGGUAAUAUAAUAAGGUGGGCUGCCAUAUCCAUUCUGCAUUUAUGUAUAUUCUAUUUUCUGAAUUCUGGUCCUCAUGUUUUUGAAACAAGUGUAUAUUUGCUAUAUAUUUGCUAUAUAUCUAGGCUAUAUUUCCAUCCCUUGUCCUUUGGCAUGAAAUUUUAAUAAGAAACUAGUGUGGGGGGGAGAAUGUUUUUGAGGAGACCAUUACAUUUUCCUAAUGGUACAUGUCAUGGCCUAAGAUGCAUUUGAAAUGUAGGUAAAGCUAUUUAUAGUAAUCAAAAUGAGUGUGGAACAUUACUGUUGUUAUUGUGAGGAGGCUAGAGGAAUUCUAAAUAAUGGGUAAUGUAUUGGGAUUCUCCAAGCCACCAUGAAUUAACUUUCUCCAAAUGCCAAUGGCUCCCCUGAUGAUAUAUUUAUGGCUUCCACUGCUUACGUUCUGUGCUUCCCCCAUCCUAAUCAAAUUUGAUUCUACAACCACCAGUCCCUAGAGACUGGUCUUGUCAGGAUGGAUGCUGAUGUGGGUGCAAAAUGUAAAGGCUACUUGUUAGUAUUUAGCCAUGAUUAUAGUCCCUCUUUUGAAGUGUGCUCUUCAUCUUCCAUGAGAUGAGGAGAAACCUCAAUCUUCUAGUUGUCCCUCCAACUCUGUUGUUGUUUUCAGAUGCCUCUAAGGAGCACUUCUUUUUCUUUGCCAAUGUCUUAUUGUGGUAGACGAAUUUGUAAACUGUUAUCAAAUGAGAAACACAGAGCCAAAUAUAGGGGUGAAAGCUGUAGAGAUCAGAGAAAUAGCGAAAGGCCACCAACUAACCUCAGCUCACCAUGUCGCCGUAGCUUCCCAAGAGAACCAGCUUCUUCCUGUCUAACCUGUGCCUUUAUUGCCUUGCUCUUCUGCCUUCUCAUUGGCUCUAAGCCCAGCCACCUCUCUUCCUCAUCACUGCCUGUCUGUACAGACCUCCAGGUCUCUAUGGUUACUAUUGGGAUUAAAGGCAUGUGUCACCACGCUCAGCUGUGUCCUUGAACACACAGAGACUCUGCCCUCUAUGUGAUUGGGAUUAAGGGCGUGUGCCUGACUUCUGUUUAUGGCUGGCUAUGACCUCUGAUCUCCAGGCAAACUUUAUUAACAUGCAAAUAAAAUAUCACCACGUUUCAGCAAAAAUAAAAUAUCACCACAUCUUAUUUCCACGAUUUCAUUUCUAGCUGUCUUAUUACCUCCUUAUUAUCUAUGUAGUUUUUCUUAGACCCCCCCCCCCACUUCAAGUUCAUAUAUAACAUUAAAGUUCAGCAGCACCCCACAUACACUUGCUCUUCCUUUUUCUCUUUUUUCACUUGGGAUAAUGCUUUCAAGUCCCGUUGGACAUCUAUUCCAGGGAAAGGAGGGGGAUGGUAAGGUAUGAGUGGCUUCUGGGGGAAGAUGACCCUUUCAUGCGGCAAUUUAUCGUGUGAGAACUGACUGAGGUGUUAGGAGAAUAUGCAAUAUCUGCCUGAGGAUGGGAGUAAAACACGAAAUCUAGUAAAACCACCCCUUGACGUGAAAACAGUUCAGAGUGGAAACACACGUGGAUUUUGACGGGGAAGGACUGGAGAGAGAUGUUUGAAAAGGUGGGCAGGAAAUAAACCAUAUGAAGCCUUUUUCUGCCAGGCUUAGUAAUUUGCGUUUAAUUCUAUCAGGUCAUAGUCCACCAACUGAUUAUGUUCUGGCUUUCGGGAGUGUUUUGUUAGGUUCAUGCUGUGCUUAAAAUAUGGAACUAAAUAUCAACAUUUAAAAAUCAGAAAUUUUAUUCACUUCUCCUUCUGGCUAAGAUCGAGUGUAAAAUUAGAAACUUUCACUUAAAAAUCAGAACUUUUCCCUACCUCACCCAAAUUUAUGAUCUCAUCUUUAGUUUUAUUGUUAUAUUUAUGUACAUAUAUAUACGCACACGUGUCUACAUAACCUAAUAAGUCUGAAAUUCUCAAAAGGAAGGAAGGAAGGAAGGAAGGAAGGAAGGAAGGAAGGAAGGAAGGAAGGAAGGACAGAAGGAAGAAAGAAAAGCCGGAAAAACUAUUAAAAAACAAACAAACAAUCAAAACAGAACUUCUGGCCUCUCCUGAAGAGCUGGGAGUUCCGAGUACUUUGCUACAUUUUAUAGCCUCUGUAGCUAUUUCUCCGCAGUGAAGAGCAGGGAGUUCCGAGUACUUUGCUACAUUUUCCAGCCUCUGUUGCUGUUUCUCCGCAGCAGUUCCCGGCUGAUCUGCUUUAUUUCUCUGUCACUUACACCACCUGUUCUGCGGCAGUGGGCUUUGGCAAUUGCUAUUUUGGUUUCUGGGCACUGGGGAGCCCUUUAAGACCUCUUAGCGGGAGAGUAAUAUCAGCCAAUAUCUGCAUCAAAAAAGAAGAUGAUUUUGGAAGAAAAACAGAGGUCAAAUUCUGGGAAAUAGAGGGGAAAAAAAAGCUCUAAGGAAAUGAAUAUGAAAAUUCUGUAGCAACAGUAGACAGUGUUUGGGGAAGGGGAGCAAAUUCCUGAUGCCAUUUCUAUCACUGGGUGGAUCAUAGGAAGCAGGGCUGUAGUUUUACUGGGAUGAUGGCUGAAGACAGCCUUGGCUAGGUCAAGGACAGUACAGAUGGACAGGAGGGGCAAGAAAUCAAUUAAGCUUAAUGGUUGAUGGUUGCUGAAACCAGAAAGAGCAUGUCAUCGUUUCUGAGUGGAUGAUGGAUGGCAGGCUCUGAUUUUUUAGAAAGCUUCAUUUUUCACACUGCCUGUGAACGGAUCACUUCUGUACUUGUAUAGAUUUGCAUCUCCUCGUUCAUUAGGUGGACUCGCACACUUGCUAGUAACGAAAACUCACCAUUCCUGAGAAAACGCUGAGAACUGAAUUAAGUGCAAAGUAAAACGGAAGUUGAUGAAGAACUUUGUGCUUGCUAGGAACAUGGCUUUUGAAAAAUGGGCUUGUGAAACUGCUAUGUUGCUUGUUUUAAGAAUGCUGUGCUGAGCCUGUAUCAUGAGGAGAGAGACUCUGACAGAAGGCUCGAUUUCAGAAAUUUCUCCAGGGUGAAUUACCUGAUUUUCACUAACUCACACGAAUUUUCAAAUUAUAAAGCUUUCUGUUUACCCUGAGCAUUCUCCACAUUUUGCUAGUCUUUCCUAAUUUUAUUUUCCCUAUUGUACAUACCUUACCUUUAACUCAUUUUAACACACACACACACACACACACACACACACACACACACACACACACACACAUACACACACACUCUGUAGUUAUUCUAUAUGAGAUUUUGCUUUUGUUUUAAUUUACUUCCAAGUUAAUCCCUUUGAACGUUGUCUUUAUUCACCUUACUUUUAUUAUCGUAAGUAAAAUUAUGUAGCCAUGUCAUUCUUUUAAUGUCUAUUUAGUAACUAUUGUAUCACUACUAGAGUCUAACAAUGUACAAAGUUCUAUGUUUCGUUAAUACUCAAAAAAUGAAAAAAAUGCUAGUAGGGUGUAUAAAUUAUAUUUACUACACACACAUAUAUAUAUAUAUUAAAAUAUGAAUAAAUUGAGAUUAUAAAUAAGAAUGACUUCAGUUUUCUAUAGUAGGAAAACAGGCAAGAUAUUUAUGUCUGGGAAAGUAAAUGAUUUCUACAUUUCCUUUAGCACAGUUAAGCACAAACCUUGGCAUGUAUAAGGCUCUUUCUUUCUCUUGAGACAAGAUCUCUAUGUAGACCGGGCUGGCACAGAGUUCAGCCUACCUCUGCCUCCUGAGUAUUAAAGGCAUCCACCACUAUGUCUGGCUCUCUCUCUCUCUCUCUCUCUCUCUCUCUCUCUCUUUACUUAUUUUUCUAUGUGUGUGUAUGUAUGUAUGUAUGUAUAUCUAUGAAAGUAUGCCACAAAUGUGUUAGGAGGCGGGAGAGGGCAUCAGAUCCCAUGGAUCUACAAUCACAGGGACUUUUGAGCUACCUGACAUGGGUGCUGUGGACUGAAUUCCAGUCCUCUGGAAGAGCAGCGUGUGCUCUGAAUGGCUAAACUCCCUCGACCCCAUUCAUCUCUUCAUUUUCAUGAAAACCACAGCAAUGCUCUGAUCUUUCAGGAAGAGGACUACUAGUUACCACGCCAUCAGAGCAAUUGGUUCUGAUAGACAGGAAAGUGUGAAAAUCUGUGUACUUUUAUAGCCAUCUUCUUUACUUUUAAACUGGAAUACUCUGAGUUGUUUUAUCUUCAAACUUCUAUCACAGUUCAACGUUACUUCAUUUCUAGAGUUGGCCAUGGAUAGAGUGUUGUUUUCUCAUUUGUAAAGAUUUCUCACAUGCUAAGUUAAUGCUGAAGACAAAUAUUUCCUCUUGCUUGAACAAGAGAAAUAAAGGAAUAAAAUGGAUGAAGAAUAAACUGUCAUUUUUCAGUGAGUUUUCAUAUUGAUCACGAUGAUAAUUAUAUGGCGGUUUGAAUAAGAAUGGCCCUCAUAGGCUCCUAUAUUGGAAUACUUAAAGAGUGAAAUUAUUUCAAAGGAUUAGGAGUUAUGGCCUUGUUGGAGUAGGUGUGACCUUGUUGGAGGAAGUGUAUCACUGGGGGGUGGGUUUGGGGUUUCAAAUGCUCAAGCCAGGGCCAGUGUCUCUCUGUUCCUGCUGCCUACAGAUCAAGAUGUAGAACUCUCAACUGUCUCUUCUACACUACCUGCAUGCCACCAUGCUUCCCAAUAUGAUGAUACUGGACUAAACCUCUGAAACUGUAAGCAUGCCCCAAUUAAAUGCUUUCUUUUUAUAAAAGGUGCCGUGGUCAUGUGUCCCUUCACAGCUAUAAAACUUUGACUAUGACAUUGGGAUCCAGAAGAGCUAACAGAGAAAGCAAACCUCAGUCUCUCUAAAGGAGAUGAUGUCCAUCAAUAUGCUGUCAGAAAGCCCUUAAACCAAGAAAGGAAGAAGCCCAGGACCAACAUACCCAAGACUACCUCACUCUAGGGCUAGAAACACAGGGCCAAGUGACCAUGGACUGAAGUCUCCACGCUGCACCCUAGUUGUUGUGAUGUGAGCUGUCCUGUUCCAUCACACCCUUCUUGUCAUGGUGUGAUGAACCCUCUGAAAUGAUGAGUUAAAAUAAAUAAGUCUUCCCAUUGAA
Molecule: long non-coding RNA, 5263 nt
Organism: Peromyscus californicus insignis
Lineage: Eukaryota; Metazoa; Chordata; Mammalia; Rodentia; Cricetidae
Exons: 2
Source: RefSeq, a predicted model, not a curated record